Molecule: ribosomal RNA, 390 nt
Filed under: Triticum aestivum (bread wheat)
Lineage: Eukaryota; Viridiplantae; Streptophyta; Magnoliopsida; Poales; Poaceae
Description: partial small subunit ribosomal RNA
Source: RNAcentral
AUGCUUAAAAUUGAUCUUGCUAAAGCUUUCAAUCAUUUGGAAUGGGACUUCAUUGUUUCUGCUCUGGCAUGUAAAGGGUUGCAUGAUCAUUUCAUAAAUUUGAUCUACGUGUGUAUUUCUUCUCCUACUUUAUCUAUGGUCAUUAAUGGUCAACCUUCGCACAAAUUUAGAAUUUCUAGAGGUAUUCAUCAAGGUUGUCCUAUGUCCCCUUAUUUGUUUGUGAUUGCCAUUAAUGAGUUGUCUCUUUCUCUCAGUGAGGCUCUUGCUACUAACAAUUUGCAGGGAAUUUCACUUGGACCAAAUCCCCCUAUUCACUCUCUGUUGUUUGCAGAUGACCUGCGUGUUUGUGGGCAAGCUAGUGAUGUCUACUACACAACCUUCUUCUUGUAG